RNAcentral lists this unclassified non-coding RNA (280 nucleotides) under uncultured fungus. RNAcentral describes it as "partial contains small subunit ribosomal RNA, internal transcribed spacer 1, and 5.8S ribosomal RNA". The stretch from base 1 to 73 matches the Rfam family "Eukaryotic small subunit ribosomal RNA", at positions 1759 to 1831 of the family's 1831-position model. Lineage: Eukaryota; Fungi. The record is from RNAcentral.
UCAAACUUGGUCAUUUAGAGGAAGUAAAAGUCGUAACAAGGUCUCCGUUGGUGAACCAGCGGAGGGAUCAUUACUGAGACUUUAUAUCUCUAUCCUUGUGAACUAUAUACCAUGUGUUGCUUCGGCAGGUCUUCCCUAGGAGGGAAUAGUGCCCGUAGGGGGCAGCCUGCCAGAGGCAAUUUUACUCUUGAUUUUUUUUUUUUGGAUUCUGAGUAUUUUUCAAAAGAAAAAAACUUUCAGCAACGGAUCUCUUGGUUCUGGCAUCGAUGAAGAACGCAGC